This is a non-coding RNA of Xyrichtys novacula (pearly razorfish), 849 nucleotides long. NCBI's taxonomy places the organism in Eukaryota, Metazoa, Chordata, Actinopteri, Labriformes, Labridae. The record is from the annotation of a GenBank genome assembly.
AUCUUUUUUGCAAUUUGCUAUAAAAAAUCGGAAGUAUUAUACUAUGUAAAGUAAAGAACUAAUUAUCGCAGGCGUCCGUUUCAAUCUCCUCCUGGACUCUGUUCCUCAAGACAACACUCACAAGUACCCGGACUUUGAUUUUUAGAGAAAGUGUUCAAAAUCAAAUGUUUCUGAUGCUUCACUCACUAGAAAAGGCCAAACCCCAAAUUUCUUGAACUUUUUAAAGUACUGCCCUAAGUCGGGAGGUUUUGGAAGGUAGAAAAAUUUCCCUUAAACCAGAUCCUGGUCCAUGCGGUGGAUUUGUACCAGGAAUCAUCAAUGGUUCCUGGUGUAUGAAAGUUUCUGCAGUGGAAAUGCAGCAUUACACACGGAGGAUUCGGUGUAAGGUAAGAAUUUGAGCAUCAGGUGGGCUCGUAACAUGUCUGCAUUUUCUUCCAUUUUACUGAAACCUUUGCCUGUUGUAACAUUUCUGUGGCUUUGGUAAAAGAGUAAAACCUAAUAUUGAAGGUUCACCACCUGUCUAUGCAUCAACUACAACUAAAGCAACAAGAUUUGACUUGAAUGAGUCUGAAAAAUGCCAUGAUGACUCUAAACAUAUUUUCUUUGGAUUAAUACAGUCGGAAUAACCCACAGUUACUGUUUUACAUACAACAAGCUACAAGAGCCAUUCAGGCCAAUUCUUCAGAUGUUGAUCAUUGUUAUAAUGAAAAGCCAGGACUACUGCUCUCCAUCGAAGAAGUUAUUUUUGUAAUCACACCUCACUUUUAAGCAACUUUGACUGGCAUUUGUUUGGUCAUUUUGCUUGUUCUUAGAGGCAACUGAACAAGCUGCUAAACCACUACAAACUCC